CCUACGGGAGGCUGCAGUGAGGAAUAUUGGUCAAUGGACGAGAGUCUGAACCAGCCAAGUAGCGUGAAGGAUGACUGCCCUAUGGGUUGUAAACUUCUUUUAUAUGGGAAUAAAAUGUUCCACGUGUGGGAUUUUGUAUGUACCAUAUGAAUAAGGAUCGGCUAACUCCGUGCCAGCAGCCGCGGUAAUACGGAGGAUCCGAGCGUUAUCCGGAUUUAUUGGGUUUAAGGGGAGCGUAGGUGGAUUGUUAAGUCAGUUGUGAAAGUUUGCGGCUCAACCGUAAAAUUGCAGUUGAAACUGGCAGUCUUGAGGACAGUAGAGGUGGGCGGAAUUCGUGGUGUAGCGGUGAAAUGCUUAGAUAUCACGAAGAACUCCGAUUGCGAAGGCAGUUCACUGGACUGCAACUGACACUGAGGCUCGAAAGUGUGGGUAUCAAACAGGAUUAGAUACCCCUGUAGUC
This 460-nucleotide ribosomal RNA is filed under the name uncultured bacterium. RNAcentral describes it as "partial 16S ribosomal RNA". It matches the Rfam family "Bacterial small subunit ribosomal RNA", at positions 338 to 795 of the family's 1533-position model. The record is from RNAcentral.